AUGCCGAGGAAAGAGCGGCGGUCAGGUGUGGCAUACAUCCACAAUGACAAAGACCGUGAUCUCACCUUCUACAAGCGACGUUCCGGUUUGUUCAAGAGGGCGACUGACAUCUCUGCCCUCACUAGGGCUAGGGUUGCGGUCGUCCUAGAAACAAACAAUGGAAAGAUGCACUCAUUUGGGACGCCAUUGGCCGAUCCCAUUGUUGAUGAUUUCCUAUUUGGAGCUCCACCAGUAGUUCCCUCUGCCGACGAGGCAACCACUGCUAGGAUUGGAAGCCUACAGAACGAGGUGGCUCGGUUGGACAUGGAGAACAUGACCGAGGAAGACAAAAACCAACUUUCCAUCCUUCGUAUGAAAAAUAUACAAAAAGAGAAUCCAGGUAUGGUGGCAAAUCUUAUCUUCACGAAGGAAAAAGAUCUCAGUCUUGAAGAUCUGAACAAGCUCUUCAGUGAGCUCUCUCGGGUCCAAAAAGAUAUU
This 477-nucleotide ribosomal RNA is filed under the name Triticum aestivum (bread wheat). RNAcentral describes it as "partial small subunit ribosomal RNA". Lineage: Eukaryota; Viridiplantae; Streptophyta; Magnoliopsida; Poales; Poaceae. The record is from RNAcentral.